RNAcentral lists this ribosomal RNA (337 nucleotides) under uncultured bacterium. RNAcentral describes it as "bacterial SSU rRNA". It matches the Rfam family "Bacterial small subunit ribosomal RNA", at positions 28 to 361 of the family's 1533-position model. The record is from RNAcentral.
GAUGAACGCUGGCGGCGUGCCUAAUACAUGCAAGUCGAACGCUGGAAUAUGUGCUUGCACAUAUGAAAGAGUGGCGAACGGGUGAGUAAUACAUAAGCAAUCUGCCCAUUAGACUGGGAUAACUAUUGGAAACGAUAGCUAAUACCGGAUAGGUAAGUUUGAGGCAUCUCGAACUUAUUAAAGUUUAGAUACACUAAUGGAUGAGCUUAUGGCGUAUUAGCUAGUUGGUAAGGUAAUGGCUUACCAAGGCAGUGAUACGUAGCCGGCCUGAGAGGGCGAACGGCCACAUUGGGACUGAGACACGGCCCAAACUUCUACGGAAGGCAGCAGUAGGGAA